UACGGAGGGGGUUAGCGUUGUUCGGAAUUACUGGGCGUAAAGCGCGCGUAGGCGGACUAUUAAGCAGAGGUGAAAUCCCGGGGCUCAACCCCGGAACUGCCUUUGAUACUGGUAGUCUUGAGUUCGAGAGAGGUAAGUGGAAUUCCGAGUGUAGAGGUGAAAUUCGUAGAUAUUGGGAAGAAUACCAGUGGCGAAGGCGGCUUACUGGUCCGAUACUGACGCUGAGGUGCGAAAGCGUGGGGAGCAAACAGGAUUAGAUACCCCC
RNAcentral lists this ribosomal RNA (265 nucleotides) under uncultured bacterium. RNAcentral's name for it is "partial 16S ribosomal RNA". It matches the Rfam family "Bacterial small subunit ribosomal RNA", at positions 524 to 789 of the family's 1533-position model. The record is from RNAcentral.